AAAAAAACGAUCCUGAUUUUAAUUAGUUAAUAAUUUACAAGUUAAUUAUCUUUGAUCUUGGGCUAAUUCUUGCAUAAUCAAUGCAAUCAUAUGACAGUUUCUCAAGUUAAAUCUUCUACCCUGACAGCCUGAGGCAUGUUAAUUAGCCAGGUGGCUGUGUGCUUGCGUUCAAGCGUGAAGUGAUUUCCUGUCGUGAAUUCACACUUGGUUGCGUUAUGUAAACAAGAGAUUAUCAGUAUGCACUGAAUAAACAGAACAGCUAAGGAAUAUUACCUACACUGGGAAUAUUUAUUAAUUUUUUGUUUGGAAAAAAGGACAUGGCGCCGAGAAAAGGGGGCAUGGCUCUGUGCCUUGCUAUUUUGCUUUAGAUUUAACACUAAAUUGAUCCCUCUUCUUGAACUUUAUGGUCUAUUUUACAGGUCAACUUGUAUAAUUAAAAAAACAAAAACAAAACAAUAGACUGACCAGAAAUCUUUCUCAUCUGUAAUCGGAAAAUUUCUUAAAAACAAAAAUAACGAUUAUAAGAAAUGAUUCCUAAUAAUUAUUCUAGUAAUGAUCAAGGGUUUAUUAAAUUGAUUCCAUAUUAUUUAUUAGACUUCGUACAUAAAUACAUUUCCUUAGACUGUUAAAAAUAUUUUAUAUUUAAAAAUCGGCAAUCUUCGUAAAUAAGGAGCUAUUUGAUUGGUCAGAUUUUAAAAUUUUUCUUUGCUUUUCUCUGAUUGGUUAACGGUAAUUUACCCACGCCAUUUUGAAAAAUAGAUCGACGAACCGAAUUGAGAGAGUUGGUGAUGUUUAAUAAAAUUUAGCUAAUAUUCGCCGAUGAAAUUGGUAGAAAAUAGAUGUUUAGCUACAGCAUGUUAGCAUGGAUCACAUUUAUAAACAAAGAAAAGCGAAAACGGAAGGAGGUUGGCGUUUUUCAAGCAUCAUGCCCUGGCUUUCCUGGUGUAAACAACGCCAUAUGCGUUUGAGUGCCUCCGCAGAGCCAUAGAAGAAAAGCUGAUUAGUUAUAGAGGAAUAGGACACCCACCCUACCCCUUGAAGCAUUACAGAUUAUGCAGGACCAAGCAGGAUGACAGUGAGAAAACUGGAGAUGUACUUCUUCAACAAAGUAAAGUGCUGUGCAAAAGAAACCCCAAAGCAGAGAGAAGAUCUAGACUUCUGAAUUCAUAUCUCAUUAUAAAUGUACAAAUUACAAAGACAAUAAGAUUGAUAAAACAUGACUUAGAAAUGAGGACAAUUGAAGAGUGAAUACUGUAUGUAAGACAGAAAAGAUCAAGAUUAUUGCACAAAAAGUAACUAAAUCAGUAAUCUAAAACCAUUUCUCUUUAAAAUC
Saccostrea cuccullata (small rock oyster) is the source of this 1333-nucleotide long non-coding RNA. RefSeq lists it as uncharacterized. Lineage: Eukaryota; Metazoa; Mollusca; Bivalvia; Ostreida; Ostreidae. The transcript has 3 exons. The record is from RefSeq and is a predicted model, not a curated record.